Helianthus annuus (common sunflower) is the source of this 3097-nucleotide long non-coding RNA. RefSeq lists it as uncharacterized. Lineage: Eukaryota; Viridiplantae; Streptophyta; Magnoliopsida; Asterales; Asteraceae. The record is from RefSeq and is a predicted model, not a curated record. The transcript has 9 exons.
AAUACAUGUUUACAUAUUAGUGUGCUUCUUAUAAUAUGCGAAGUCUUUUUUGAGUAACAUGCGAUUUUGUAGAAAUUGAUGAUGAUGAUGACUUGGAAAUGCCUAUAUCCACAUUGAAGAAAGUGAACAACAACAAGAAAAGAAGGGUUGUAGAAGAAAAUUCUGAUGAUGAUGACUUCGUUGAGCCUGUACCAAAAAAGAAGAAACUGAAAGAGGGUGAGAAACUGAAACAAGCUAAGAAAUCUAAAAUACAAAAAAAAUAAUCCUUCCAAAAAAAAGAAAAGGGAAAAAAACGAGCCAACCUGAACCACCUAGAACACAACCUAGGCCUUUCUUUGAAUAUCACAACGAAGCAUUGCUGUUGAGAUGUCAACCUACACCGUACAUGGAAACUGUAAGAAAUUUUUCAAAAGAACAAGUUGCUGACGUGAAAAGUAUGGGCUUUGGGUCUAUUCUAGAUAUGAAUCUUAACCAUAUUUCAACACGUUUAGGAUUUUGGCCAGUUUGAAACUUUGAUGAGGAGUUUAAUGAGCUUAACAUAGGUAAUCAUCAAAUCAAAAUUACUUCGGAUUCAGUUUAUGAGGUCUUUGGAAUACCAAAAGGACCUAAGCAAGUUGUUACAGUUGUUGAUAAAAGAAAAGUUAAAAAAGUUGAAAAGAGUAAGGAACCCAAAGGUAGGGAUAGUAUUAUUGAUCAGUUCAUCAGUCAAUGGGCAACCAACGAGAGGAUUACUCAUGCCUUGAUUGCAUCAGCAAUUAACAACCAAAGAGAGGGAGGAAGCUUGUUUAAAAUCAAUUUCCUAGUAUACUGGAUGACAUUUUUUUGCGGAGACUACAAAAGCUACAAAUGCAAAUAAAAGAUGUUUGCUGGGAGUAGAAGCUGUUGAAGAUAUACCGCAUCUAGAUUGGUGCUCGUAUCUACUGGAGACAUUACGUCGGACUAGACAGGGGUGGAAAAACACAAAAAUACAAUACGUGGGACCUGUCGCCUUUCUUAUGAUCAAGAGCAGGGUCAUUCAACGGAGGAGUAUACAAUACCACCCGUUGACGCCACAAAAAGCUACAGAAAAAGAACUGCGCCUGCAAUAGAAAACGAAGAGGACCCUUGCGGGCACACAGAUGAUAUGCUUGAUUUCAGCAUUGACAUGCCGGAAACUUCGCAAUUGAACCUUGUGAUGGGAGUUGGAACACAGACACGGAAAAUGAUGGACUAUUGCAACACUCCUGUUCAACUUUCUCAUACUGUAAUAUACGGUUCCGAGCAGCAACAACGACAGACUUCGAACAUCAAUAAAUGGAAUCUGUUGAAACGAAUGACGAGCAAUAUCAAAAAAUACAAUGCACUUGUUCAAAUUGUUCAAGAAAUGAACAACUUGGUUUUGGAUGCAAAAACAAAGUGUUUUUAGGAUCCGAAAAUUAUGCAAGUGUGUAAGCGGUGAGAAGACACGCUUCGAAGUACAUCGGUUUGUAUGUCGCCUGAUUCGGUUCGAGAGCCUCAAUCUGCAGCUUGUGAUGUUGAUCAAGAAGAUAUUGCAAAUGAAGAAUGUAGAGGGAAUGUAGAAGUUCAAGAAGUCAUAGCCAAUGUUGUGGACAGUGUGAGACACAUGGAAUCAGAAGGACUACUGCAACCAGAUGAUGGAGGAGUAACAGAGACAGGUGAUGGGGGAGUAACAAACACCUUUAUUGCAAAACUACAAACUGUGGAACAUGGUGUAUACGUUUACAACUCACAAUUGCAGGAAAGUGGUGAAACUGCGAUGGAAGCAGCAGUGAAUUUAGCAGAAUCUACAUAACACCUUCCAGAAAAACUUCCAGAAAAACAUACCUCCAAGAUUCUAGGCCAAACAAUGAGCAUAAAUCUAAAACCGAAGUGGAAGCAGUUAAUUUAGCAGAUACUACACAGCAGGAACCACAAGAAAAGGAUUCGGAUAUCGAAAGUGAAAAAGAAAGAGACGUGGUAUGCCCUUUGGUACGGCUGAAGAAUUGCAAUCGAGUUACUUUUCAGCCUGGCACCCAACCUGGUAGUACACAAGGGAAGGAACCCAGGUAGGGGGGAAACAGGUCUCAAAUCCAGUUGAAAAACAACCACCUGCAAAACAAAAAGCGGGAAAAAGGGACGUGGAGAACAAAAAAAGGAGGAACCAAAGGGGUUAAAUGAAUUCCUUUAUAAAAAAAUAGAACUCGCAAAAACUCGAAAUGAGAAAAGGUAUGCGGACCUUGGGGAUGUGUUUUGUUCCCCUUUUUGCAACAGAGUGGUUAAUAUGCAUGAAGCAUUCCUAGAUCGUGAAUUGAGUGUGAUUAGAUACACAUUUGCUACGCUUAUGGGAAUGGAAUUAGUAUUUUACCGAUAAAAAACUGGGGUUUACACAUACAAAGCUAUCUUCGAAAGCUUCUAUAGAAAUCAAUAUGUGGCAUCAAACGGAAUCGAUGCAUUUGUGGAUGUGCUCAACCUUGAAGAGAAGAAGAGGGCUAGAAAAUCAUCAUCGUACAGACUCUUCUUGUAUAGUACAAUAUUGCCAGAUAUCAUGUACAAUGAUAACUGCAUCGACAACCAACGGCUAAACGUAUUUACCUCAAAUCUUGAAGACAUCUUACAGAAAUAUAAGUUAAAAAGUGGAUUAGUUGACCUCCUGUUUAUUCCAGUACUUCAAGGUGAUCAUUUCUAUUGCAUGUGCUUCCACAUGAAAACCGGUCAAGUUGAAUUGAUUGACAACUUAGCAAUUGAACAAGAGUUUAAAGAUAGAUACAAUGGGCUUCCAGACACCCUGAGAAGGGUACUGGUUUUAUACCUGCAAAAGGCCUUAAAACAACACCAGCUAUCAAACAACUUGAUGAAUCACCUAUAGAAAAAAAAGAGAUGGAGUGGAGAACUGUUACUAACAGUGUAGAUUGUGGAGUGUAUACAAUGCGACAUAUGGAUGUCACACCCCAACCGAUGGCGGAAUCAUCGGGGCGUGGCACUAGGCGAACCAGAUUACUCAAGAGAAUCCAUAACAACUAUUAAAUGACAAUAUUUAAAAGGUUCAUUAUCCCAUACCAAUAAACAAAUAUUUCAAAAACAGUCAUCACAGAGUUCACAUCUCUUAAACAACAACAAG